GAUGAACACUGGCGGCGUGCCUAAUACAUGCAAGUCGAGCGAAUGGAUUAAGAGCUUGCUCUUAUGAAGUUAGCGGCGGACGGGUGAGUAACACGUGGGUAACCUGCCCAUAAGACUGGGAUAACUCCGGGAAACCGGGGCUAAUACCGGAUAAUAUUUUGAACUGCAUGGUUCAAAAUUGAAAGGCGGCUUCGGCUGUCACUUAUGGAUGGACCCGCGUAGCAUUAGCUAGUUGGUGAGGUAACGGCUCACCAAGGCAACGAUGCGUAGCCGGCCUGAGAGGGGGAUCGGCCACACUGGGACUGAGACACGGCCCAGACCCCAACGGGAGGCAGCAGUAGGGAAUCUUCCGCAAUGGGCGAAAGUCUGACGGAGCAACGCCGCGUGAGUGAUGAAGGCUUUCGGGUCGUAAAACUCUGUUGUUAGGGAAGAACAAGUGCUAGUUGAAUAAGCUGGCACCUUGACGGUACCUAACCAGAAAGCCACGGCUAACUACGUGCCAGCCGCCGCGGUAA
This 515-nucleotide ribosomal RNA is filed under the name uncultured bacterium. Its description in RNAcentral is "partial 16S ribosomal RNA". It matches the Rfam family "Bacterial small subunit ribosomal RNA", at positions 28 to 523 of the family's 1533-position model. The record is from RNAcentral.